Aethalodelphis obliquidens (Pacific white-sided dolphin) is the source of this 73-nucleotide non-coding RNA. The record is from the annotation of a RefSeq genome assembly. NCBI's taxonomy places the organism in Eukaryota, Metazoa, Chordata, Mammalia, Artiodactyla, Delphinidae.
UCCCUGUUGGUCCAAUGGUUAGGACUCAGCACUUUCACUGCUGGGGCCCCAGGUUCAAUCCCUGGUCGGGGAA